CUAAGGCUCCAGAGGAAGCCACGGCUAACUCUGUGCCAGCAGCCGCGGUAAUACAGAGGCGGCAAGCGUUGUUCGGAAUUAUUGGGCGUAAAGAGCACGUAGGCGGCCUUGCAAGUCAGUUGUGAAAGCCUUCCGCUUAACGGAAGAAUGCCAGCUGAUACUACAGGGCUUGAGUACGGGAGGGGAGAGUGGAACUUCUGGUGGAGCGGUGAAAUGCGUAGAUAUCAGAAGGAACGCCGGCGGCGAAAGCGACUCUCUGGCCCGAAACUGACGCUGAGUGCGCGAAAGCUAGGGGAGCAAACGGGAUUAGAUACCCCGGUAGUCCUAGCCGUAAA
RNAcentral lists this ribosomal RNA (335 nucleotides) under uncultured Planctomycetales bacterium. RNAcentral describes it as "bacterial SSU rRNA". It matches the Rfam family "Bacterial small subunit ribosomal RNA", at positions 473 to 806 of the family's 1533-position model. Lineage: Bacteria; Pseudomonadati; Planctomycetota; Planctomycetia; Planctomycetales. The record is from RNAcentral.